This 297-nucleotide long non-coding RNA is filed under the name Physcomitrium patens. Its description in RNAcentral is "long non-coding RNA (PPAT_LNC005970)". Lineage: Eukaryota; Viridiplantae; Streptophyta; Bryopsida; Funariales; Funariaceae. The record is from RNAcentral.
GUAGCAGAGUUUUGCACAAAGAAAUUUUGCUCCACUUCUACAUCUCCAAUUCUAGUCUUUACAGCUGGACAAGCUCCAUGUAAAUCACCUUGUUGAUUGUUUGCAGCUCUGAUUACCCAACCAUGGUUGAUAUCAAUUGGCCACUUAUUCUUCUCAUAUAUCUUCCUUGACAUGAUGUUGAUUUCAGAUCCAUGAUCAACCAGGGCCAAAAUUGGAUCUUUAAAGUCCCCCAAUCUUACAUAUGUUUUUGUAGUAGCUCUAGCCCAAUAAGGAACUGAAUAACUACUACUCUCUAUU